CUCCUUUAGAGUUUGGAUCCUGGCUCAGGACGAACGCUGGCGGCGUGCUUAACACAUGCAAGUCGAACGAUGAAGCCCUUCGGGGUGGAUUAGUGGCGAACGGGUGAGUAACACGUGGGCAAUCUGCCCUUCACUCUGGGACAAGCCCUGGAAACGGGGUCUAAUACCGGAUACGACCCGCCGAGGCAUCUUGCCGGGUGGAAAGCUCCGGCGGUGAAGGAUGAGCCCGCGGCCUAUCAGCUUGUUGGUGGGGUAACGGCCCACCAAGGCGACGACGGGUAGCCGGCCUGAGAGGGCGACCGGCCACACUGGGACUGAGACACGGCCCAGACUCCUACGGGAGGCAGCAGUGGGGAAUAUUGCACAAUGGGCGCAAGCCUGAUGCAGCGACGCCGCGUGAGGGAUGACGGCCUUCGGGUUGUAAACCUCUUUCAGCAGGGAAGAAGCGCAAGGACG
RNAcentral lists this ribosomal RNA (456 nucleotides) under Streptomyces bikiniensis. RNAcentral describes it as "bacterial SSU rRNA". It matches the Rfam family "Bacterial small subunit ribosomal RNA", at positions 1 to 460 of the family's 1533-position model. Lineage: Bacteria; Bacillati; Actinomycetota; Actinomycetes; Kitasatosporales; Streptomycetaceae. The record is from RNAcentral.